This 324-nucleotide long non-coding RNA is filed under the name Manihot esculenta (cassava). RNAcentral's name for it is "long non-coding RNA (MESC_LNC003060)". The record is from RNAcentral. Lineage: Eukaryota; Viridiplantae; Streptophyta; Magnoliopsida; Malpighiales; Euphorbiaceae.
CUUUCAUGAAAUACAUCACAUUACAAACAAAUCACAUCAAGGAUGGACUUGUCACCAAUAGUCCUCUACACAUUCCAAUGGUGCCAGGGGCGUAGAAUGGGCCUCACUGGUCUUUCUCUUACUCUGUGCUAGGGGCGUAGAAUGGGUCUCAAUGGACUUCCAUACCGUAUCAUCGUCAUCAUAUCAUACCGAGGACUAAUGGGUCAUCCAACAUCCAUCCACAUCAACAUUAAAGUAUGCAAUGCAACAUAUUCGUGAAUUCUAAUGCAAACAACCUAGUAUAUAUCAUGGCAUUCGUGAUGUAUGAACAUGCUUGAAAUUUAU